Molecule: transfer RNA, 73 nt
Filed under: Paramuricea clavata
Lineage: Eukaryota; Metazoa; Cnidaria; Anthozoa; Malacalcyonacea; Plexauridae
Rfam family: tRNA
About the family: Transfer RNA (tRNA) molecules are approximately 80 nucleotides in length. Their secondary structure includes four short double-helical elements and three loops (D, anti-codon, and T loops).
Source: Rfam by way of RNAcentral
GACCGUGUAGCUCAGUUGGAAGAGCAUUGGGCUAGCAUUCCAAAGGUCGUAUGUUCGAAUCCCACCGUGGCCG